Molecule: ribosomal RNA, 305 nt
Filed under: uncultured bacterium
Lineage: Bacteria
Description: bacterial SSU rRNA
Rfam family: Bacterial small subunit ribosomal RNA
Source: RNAcentral
UUCCUACGGGACGCAGCAGUGAGGAAUAUUGGUCAAUGGACGCAAGUCUGAACCAGCCAAGUAGCGUGCAGGAUGACGGCCCUCCGGGUUGUAAACUGCUUUUAGUUGGGAAUAAAAGGGGGCUCGUGAGCCCCGUAUUGUAUGUACCAUCAGAAAAAGGACCGGCUAAUUCCGUGCCAGCAGCCGCGGUAAUACGGAGGAUGCGAGCGUUAUCCGGAUUUAUUGGGUUUAAAGGGUGCGUAGGCGGAAUGCCAAGUCAGCGGUAAAAUCGCGGGGCUCAACCUCGCUCCGCCGUUGAAACUGGC